AGUGUCAACACUCGGAGCACUUGGGUAGCUGUCAGGACCCCAGGGUCCUAGCAGGGCUGGCUGGCAGUGGAGCCUGCACUGUAUCCCUUGCUAUGAGCUUGCCCAGAUGUGGUGGGCCACUUACAUUUCCCACAAGGCCCUGGAGUGAUGCUGUGUCAGGCGCUCUGGGAUACUGCGGGGUGUGAAAUGGCUGCAGCCACCGUCAGCUACAGAACAGUAGUAGUAAACCAUCGGUAGAAGCAACAGUGCUAAGGAUAAAACGUUGGCGUAAGUUUCAUCUCCGUUGUCUUUCGUUUUCCCUCACUGAGUUUAUCAGACAGCUUGGGAUAUAAGGCAGAAACAAAACAAAACAAACAAAAGCCAAAGCAAAACACAACCCCUGGCACCCUACAUGAAUUAAGACUUGAACCAACCGCUGUUGUUGUUUUGUGUGUGUUUACAAAAAGUGGGAAACAGAGAGAUGACAGAGACUUGAAGUGUGAAGAAGCUACACUAGCAACAUUUUAAAAAAACAAAAAGCAAAAAAGACAACCAGAACAGCAAAAAGCAUCGCUUCCCAUUGAAUACAAUUAAAAUAUGCAUGCAUGUAUGUACAGUAUAUGUAUAUACAUGUACAUACAUACAUAUGUGUGUAUAAGCACACUGCCUGGAUGUUAAAUCUCUUCAGGUGCCCCAAGAACUGAACAAACAUCUGCUAGUAAACUCAAAAAAGUUAAAACACAUAAAAUGCUUCUUUUC
This is a non-coding RNA of Podarcis muralis (Common wall lizard), 738 nucleotides long. The record is from RefSeq and is a predicted model, not a curated record. Lineage: Eukaryota; Metazoa; Chordata; Lepidosauria; Squamata; Lacertidae.